GACAGAGGGGGCAAGCGUUGCUCGGAAUUACUGGGCGUAAAGGGCGCGUAGGCGGGAUGGCAAGUCGGUCGUGAAAUCCCUCGGCUCAACUGAGGAUCGUCGACCGAUACUGCCGUUCUUGAGGAUUGCAGAGGAGACUGGAAUUCCCGGUGUAGCGGUGAAAUGUGUAGAGAUCAGGAGGAACACCGGUGGCGAAGGCGGCUUUCUGGACAGAAAC
RNAcentral lists this ribosomal RNA (217 nucleotides) under uncultured prokaryote. Its description in RNAcentral is "partial 16S ribosomal RNA". It matches the Rfam family "Bacterial small subunit ribosomal RNA", at positions 524 to 740 of the family's 1533-position model. The record is from RNAcentral.